Molecule: ribosomal RNA, 253 nt
Filed under: uncultured bacterium
Lineage: Bacteria
Description: partial 16S ribosomal RNA
Rfam family: Bacterial small subunit ribosomal RNA
Source: RNAcentral
UACGUAGGGACCGAGCGUUGUUCGGAAUUACUGGGCGUAAAGGGCGCGUAGGCGGCCUACUAAGUCGGACGUGAAAUCCCUCGGCUCAACCGAGGAACUGCGUCCGAUACUGGUGGGCUUGAAUCCGGGAGAGGGAUGUGGAAUUCCAGGUGUAGCGGUGAAAUGCGUAGAUAUCUGGAGGAACACCGGUGGCGAAGGCGGCAUCCUGGACCGGUAUUGACGCUGAUGCGCGAAAGCCAGGGGAGCAAACGGG